Molecule: ribosomal RNA, 119 nt
Organism: Gossypium raimondii (Peruvian cotton)
Lineage: Eukaryota; Viridiplantae; Streptophyta; Magnoliopsida; Malvales; Malvaceae
Source: Rfam
GGGUGCAAUCAUUCCAGCACUAAUGAACCGGAUCCCAUCAGAACUUUGCAGUCAAGCGUGCUUGGGGAAGAGUAGUACUAGGAUGGGUGACCUUCUGAGAAGUCCGCGUAUUGCACCCC